GACGAACGCUGGCGGCGUGCUUAACACAUGCAAGUCGAACGGUAAGGCCCUUCGGGGUACACGAGUGGCGAACGGGUGAGUAACACGUGGGUAAUCUGCCCUGCACUUCGGGAUAAGCCUGGGAAACUGGGUCUAAUACCGGAUAGGACCACUGCCUGCAUGGGUGGCGGUGGAAAGCUUUUGCGGUGUGGGAUGGGCCCGCGGCCUAUCAGCUUGUUGGUGGGGUGAUGGCCUACCAAGGCGACGACGGGUAGCCGGCCUGAGAGGGUGACCGGCCACACUGGGACUGAGAUACGGCCCAGACUCCUACGGGAGGCAGCAGUGGGGAAUAUUGCACAAUGGGCGCAAGCCUGAUGCAGCGACGCCGCGUGAGGGAUGACGGCCUUCGGGUUGUAAACCUCUUUCAGCACCGACGAAGCGCAAGUGACGGUAGGUGCAGAAGAAGGACCGGCCAACUACGUGCCAGCCGCCGCGGUAA
RNAcentral lists this ribosomal RNA (478 nucleotides) under uncultured bacterium. Its description in RNAcentral is "partial 16S ribosomal RNA". It matches the Rfam family "Bacterial small subunit ribosomal RNA", at positions 28 to 523 of the family's 1533-position model. The record is from RNAcentral.